AGUGAACGCUGGCGGUAGGCCUAGCACAUGCAAGUCGAACGGCAGCACAGUAAGAGCUUGCUCUUACGGGUGGCGAGUGGCGGACGGGUGAGGAAUACAUCGGAAUCUACUUUUUCGUGGGGGAUAACGUAGGGAAACUUACGCUAAUACCGCAUACGACCUACGGGUGAAAGCAGGGGAUCUUCGGACCUUGCGCGAUUGAAUGAGCCGAUGUCGGAUUAGCUAGUUGGCGGGGUAAAGGCCCACCAAGGCGACGAUCCGUAGCUGGUCUGAGAGGAUGAUCAGCCACACUGGAACUGAGACACGGUCCAGACUCCUACGGGAGGCAGCAGUGGGGAAUAUUGGACAAUGGGCGCAAGCCUGAUCCAGCCAUACCGCGUGGGUGAAGAAGGCCUUCGGAUUGUAAAGCCCUUUUGUUGGGAAAGAAGAGCAGCAGGUUAAUACCCCGCUGUUCUGACGGUACCCAAAGAAUAAGCACCGGCUAACUUCGUG
RNAcentral lists this ribosomal RNA (492 nucleotides) under uncultured bacterium. Its description in RNAcentral is "partial 16S ribosomal RNA". It matches the Rfam family "Bacterial small subunit ribosomal RNA", at positions 29 to 507 of the family's 1533-position model. The record is from RNAcentral.